GACGAACGCUGGCGGCGUGCCUAAUACAUGCAAGUAGAACGCUGAAGAGAGGAGCUUACUCUUCUUGGAUGAGUUGCGAACGGGUGAGUAGCGCGUAGGUAACCUGCCUUGUAGCGGGGGAUAACUAUUGGAAACGAUAGCUAAUACCGCAUAACAAUGGAUGACACAUGUCAUUUAUUUGAAAGGGGCAAUUGCUCCACUACAAGAUGGACCUGCGUUGUAUUAGCUAGUAGGUGAGGUAAUGGCUCACCUAGGCGACGAUACAUAGCCGACCUGAGAGGGUGAUCGGCCACACUGGGACUGAGACACGGCCCAGACUCCUACGGGAGGCAGCAGUAGGGAAUCGUCGGCAAUGGGGGCAACCCUGACCGAGCAACGCCGCGUGAGUGAAGAAGGUUUUCGGAUCGUAAAGCUCUGUUGUAAGUCAAGAACGGGUGUGAGAGUGGAAAGUUCACACUGUGACGGUAGCUUACCAGAAAGGGACGGCUAACUACGUG
This 497-nucleotide ribosomal RNA is filed under the name uncultured bacterium. RNAcentral describes it as "partial 16S ribosomal RNA". It matches the Rfam family "Bacterial small subunit ribosomal RNA", at positions 28 to 507 of the family's 1533-position model. The record is from RNAcentral.